AACGCUCGCGGCGUGCUUAACACAUGCAAGUCGAACGAACCUUCGGGUUAGUGGCGGACGGGUGAGUAACGCGUGAGAAUCUGCCCUCAGGAGGGGGACAACAGCUGGAAACGGCUGCUAAUACCCCAUAUGCCGCGAGAGUGAAAUGAAUUUCGCCUGAGGAUGAGCUCGCGUCUGAUUAGCUAGUUGGUGUAGGUAAUGGCUCACCAAGGCAUCGAUCAGUAGCUGGUCUGAGAGGAUGAUCAGCCACACUGGGACUGAGACACGGCCCAGACUCCUACGGGAGGCAGCAGUGGGGAAUUUUCCGCAAUGGGCGAAAGCCUGACGGAGCAACGCCGCGUGAGGGAUGAAGGCCUCUGGGCUGUAAACCUCUUUUAUCAAGGAAGAAGAUCUGACGGUACUUGAUGAAUAAGCCACGGCUAAUUCCGUGCCAGCAGCCGCGGUAAUACGGGAGUGGCAAGCGUUAUCCGGAAUUAUUGGGCGUAAAGCGUC
This 492-nucleotide ribosomal RNA is filed under the name uncultured Synechococcus sp. RNAcentral's name for it is "bacterial SSU rRNA". It matches the Rfam family "Bacterial small subunit ribosomal RNA", at positions 32 to 569 of the family's 1533-position model. Lineage: Bacteria; Bacillati; Cyanobacteriota; Cyanophyceae; Synechococcales; Synechococcaceae. The record is from RNAcentral.